Molecule: non-coding RNA, 739 nt
Organism: Meleagris gallopavo (turkey)
Lineage: Eukaryota; Metazoa; Chordata; Aves; Galliformes; Phasianidae
Source: RefSeq, a predicted model, not a curated record
GGAAGGGUCUCUUCUGUAGAUUCACUCUGCUGGUGUUUCAUGAGUGAGCCUAGGAUAGGGAUUUUUUAUGGAUUGCAUCAACAAGAAUCAGGUUUAGAGUCUGCCAUCAGAAGUAUAAUGACUUUAGAAGUAUCCUCUUUGUAAGGAAUAAAGAACAGUGGCUGAAACUUCGGAUACAUUUUCAGUACACAAACUGCAAUAACUGAUGCUGUGUUAGGUAAUUUAUGUGUUCUUCUCUGGAUGUUACUGUAGGUCUAAGAUUUCUACAGAUGUGCUGUGAAAGUCAAGGCAACGAAGAGUCAGAAAACAGGAGACGUGACAGUGACAUCCCUUGGAUUUUUGUAGUCAGUAAGACUGGACUUUAAUUUACUGUCUGAAGAAAGUUCAAUGGCAGUUCCUGAGAAUGUAAAAACAUGACAGUUCCAAAGAAAAUAUUUGGAGGUAGACCAGAAUAAGGAUUUUCAGUGUGUCAUUUAUUACCUAGUCUGUACACAUCCUCUUAUGCCACAGUACUACAAAGUAAGGAAAGAUAUUUCACCUCAGUGAAAGGUGGCUAACCUGUUUUGAGUGGAAAGUUUGUGGAUGUGUUAAUCUUGACAUCCUGUAAUUCCUGACAUUAACUUUUUGGGCAUACCAGUCUGUAUCAGCUACACAAAUUUACAGCAGUUCCUCCUGUGGGACCUCUCUGAAGUACUGCCAAAGGCUCGUGGUUAUAAAAAUGGGAGGAUGUUUUCUUCAA